This 460-nucleotide ribosomal RNA is filed under the name uncultured bacterium. Its description in RNAcentral is "partial 16S ribosomal RNA". It matches the Rfam family "Bacterial small subunit ribosomal RNA", at positions 338 to 795 of the family's 1533-position model. The record is from RNAcentral.
CCUACGGGAGGCAGCAGUGAGGAAUAUUGGUCAAUGGACGAGAGUCUGAACCAGCCAAGUAGCGUGAAGGAUGACUGCCCUAUGGGUUGUAAACUUCUUUUAUAUGGGAAUAAAAUGUUCCACGUGUGGGAUUUUGUAUGUACCAUAUGAAUAAGGAUCGGCUAACUCCGUGCCAGCAGCCGCGGUAAUACGUAGGAUCCGAGCGUUAUCCGGAUUUAUUGGGUUUAAAGGGAGCGUAGGUGGAUUGUUAAGUCAGUUGUGAAAGUUUGCGGCUCAACCGUAAAAUUGCAGUUGAAACUGGCAGUCUUGAGUACAGUAGAGGUGGGCGGAAUUCGUGGUGUAGCGGUGAAAUGCUUAGAUAGCACGAAGAACUCCGAUUGCGAAGGCAGUUCACUGGACUGCAACUGACACUGAGGCUCGAAAGUGUGGGUAUCAAACAGGAUUAGAUACCCCUGUAGUC